Phascolarctos cinereus (koala) is the source of this 599-nucleotide long non-coding RNA. RefSeq lists it as uncharacterized. NCBI's taxonomy places the organism in Eukaryota, Metazoa, Chordata, Mammalia, Diprotodontia, Phascolarctidae. The record is from RefSeq and is a predicted model, not a curated record.
GUGCGGCCCCAGGUCCACUGGUCCAUACUCUGACAGAUAAUUAAGAAAGCAGCAGCUUUUUCUAGACGGCUCUUCCUCAUGAUUUGCAUUUUAGCCAGAGGCGACCAGUUAUAAAAAAAACAUGAUGGAAAGAUGGUAAGAAGCCAAUUAGAUGGAUGGAUGGCUGACUGACAGCUCUCUGGUAAUACUACUCCAGAUUUCAGACUACAUAGCCUGGCAGUUUUCUACAAGAACCAACUUUUUUGCAGGCAUAAGAGAUGGAAGAAGAACUUGCCUGAAGUGCUUUUCAAAUAUUUGCCAUGGGGAUAAAUACCUUCCUCACAGAGUUGUUGUGAAGAAAGAACUUGGAUAACCAUAAAGAGCCAGAGAGAUAGUAUAAACUUUUGGAUAGUCUGAUGGAUUUUGGUAUGAGGAAAUAUGGGCUUAAAUUUCACUAAGGUAUUCAUUAGUUAUGUGACCUCAGAUAGUUCUUUUAACCUCUCUUGGCCCCCAAUUCCUCCUCUAUAAAAUGAGAGGGUAGGUCCUAUUUAACUGUGAUCCUUUUAUGUAAUGUGAGUUAUUACUAUAUUAAAGAAAAUAUCAUUGCAGAUACAUCCUGA